CCCAAACCAGCCCAAGUGAAGAGACCACACGAAGAAGUCACACACAGGUGUCUUUCUGAUGGCCCAGCUGCGGUAGCAGCUGCCAGACACGCAAGUGAAGACUCUCCGACCGAGGCCAGCACCCCAGCCACCAAGUCGCCCUCAGCCUUCAGGCUGUCCCAGCCGAGGCCCCAGACACUGUGGAGCAGAGACAAGCUGUCCUGCUGUGCCCUGUCUGCAUUCCUGACCACAGGAUCUGAGAGAUAUCAUUCCAGUGUUCUGGAAAAAGUACAGAAUUGAAUCCUUGGAGUGGAGCACACUGAUUGUCCAGGCCUGGGUCGGAUGCCUGUAUUUAAAUCCAGAAGUAGGCUCAGCCCCAUCUAAACCAUGUGAGCUGACACUGAGCCAGGAGUCUUCUCUACAAAAACUGUGAUGCUGUUACAGGGGCAGAGGAAAUGGGAGCCAGAGGUAAAUGCUCCGUGGAAACACAUGGCUGGUUGCAGUAAAGACUACAUUUCCCAGCCUCCCUUGCAGCAAGAAGCGGCCAUGUGACUGAGGUAUGGCCAAUGAGAUGUGAGCAGAACAUGGGACAGCAAACAAGGUGAUCAGCCAUUUGGACCUCUGGAUGGGGUCCACAUGCUGGUGAGAAUGGGACAACAAGUUAGGGGCCCAAGCCUCUGACAACUUUCUGGUACAGAGCCACCGCCCAGCUCAGACAUCCCUGUGAAAAACAAAUAAACGC
This 721-nucleotide long non-coding RNA is filed under the name Homo sapiens (human). RNAcentral describes it as "HSALNT0268647". Lineage: Eukaryota; Metazoa; Chordata; Mammalia; Primates; Hominidae. The record is from RNAcentral.